CGUGUAGGCGGUUAGGCAAGUCAGAUGUGAAAGCCCUGGGCUCAACUCAGGAAGUGCAUUUGAAACUGUUUAACUAGAGUAAGAGAGGGGAAAGUGGAAUUCCUGGUGUAGAGGUGAAAUUCGUAGAUAUCAGGAGGAACACCGGUGGCGAAGGCGGCUUUCUGGCUCUAUACUGACGCUGAGACGCGAAAGCGUGGGGAGCAAACAGGAUUAGAUACCCUGGUAGUCC
This 229-nucleotide ribosomal RNA is filed under the name uncultured bacterium. RNAcentral's name for it is "partial 16S ribosomal RNA". It matches the Rfam family "Bacterial small subunit ribosomal RNA", at positions 568 to 796 of the family's 1533-position model. The record is from RNAcentral.